CCAACUCCGUGCGUCUGCUCGACCGAUCCACCGCGAUGUCUAGCUCCGACGUCAGUGCCAUGCCCGCAGCCAACCACGAGGGGCACAGCCUGGCGGGCCCCGCCCCGCCCCCUGCGCCGGUGGUUCACAAGCGCAAGCCCGGGAGACCCCAGGAGAAAAGCCCGCCCCCAGCGGCCACCAGAGAGGAGCUGGAAUCCAGGGAGUCCCGGGAAGGACCCUUGAAGGUGCUUGCGCUCCCGGCGCCAGGGGCCCGGCGUGCUUAUGUUGUCUCAGAUGACAAGAUGGUGAGCCGCGCUCGCGCCCCCACACGGCGUGCAAGCGCGGUAUCCAACAACAAGAUGAUGGACAGGAACGAGAUAACGCCGGUGGUUCGCAGGCGCAAGCCCGGGAGACCCCAGGAGAAAAGCCCGCCCCCAGCGGCCAUCAGAGAGGAGCUGGAAUCCCGGGAGUCCCGGGAAGGCCCCUUGAAGGUGCUUGCACUCCCGGCGCCAGGGGCCCCGCGUACUCACGCUGUCUCCGGCGACAAGAUGAUGAGACGCGCUCGCGCCCCCACCCGGCAUGCAAACAUUGUCUCCGACGACAAGAUGGUGAGCCGCGCUCGCGCCCCCACCCUGCAUGCAAACCAUGUCUCCGAUGACAAGAUGAUGGACAAGAACGAGAUGGCGCCAGUCCAGGGGGUGCCGCGCAUGCGAGGGAGCAUCGCGUCGUCAAGUGCGGUUGGCCUUUGAAGCAAUCUGACUGAGCGUGUUCAAUAAGUUGAUUGAUCCCAUUUGAGGAAGUAUCUCCAUUGAGGUGGGGUCGAGAGUGAAGGACUGGGUAGCUUGGAUGCAGGGGAAAUGGCACCUCGAGGGGUUCAAGUCUUCAUGAUCAAUAACCACAAUUUUGAUCUGAAUGAGCUACCGACUGAGCAUGAGUAGCUCAAGAAGGAGUAGUCACCCGUGGAGCAAGAGUAGCCACCUAUGGCACAACAUGAGCUUUAAUAUUCACAAUGGUUGGAGGCUACUCAAAUCCACCUUGUGUGAGCAAAAAUAACUCUUGGCCCAAAGUAUAGCCAUGUCAGAAAUUAUCGAAACAAUAUCCUUAUCCCAAGGACGAUUGUAAAGCUUAUGUGGAACUUUUCAAUUUCUCGCUUCCUAUUUUUUGGUGAUUGCCUGACGCUAUUGCUAAACUUGAGGGAAGGACUUGGUAUACUGCCUCAUGA
Molecule: RNA transcript, 1201 nt
Organism: Triticum aestivum (bread wheat)
Lineage: Eukaryota; Viridiplantae; Streptophyta; Magnoliopsida; Poales; Poaceae
Exons: 5
Source: RefSeq, a predicted model, not a curated record